This 86-nucleotide transfer RNA is filed under the name Armatimonadota bacterium. RNAcentral describes it as "Armatimonadetes bacterium (activated sludge metagenome) tRNA-Tyr". It matches the Rfam family "tRNA". Rfam says of the family: Transfer RNA (tRNA) molecules are approximately 80 nucleotides in length. Lineage: Bacteria; Bacillati; Armatimonadota. The record is from RNAcentral. RNAcentral also lists the same sequence under 3 other names.
GGCGGGUUGCCCGAGUGGCCAAUGGGAGCAGACUGUAAAUCUGCCGGCGAAUGCCUUCGUAGGUUCGAAUCCUACACCCGCCACCA